CGCAUAUUGCGCCCCUUGGUAUUCCGAGGGGCAUGCCUGUUCGAGCGUCAUUAUCACCCCUCAAGCCUAGCUUGGUGUUGGACUUGACCGUACUUUAGCUAUGGUCGGUCUCAAAAAUAGUGACGGCGCCCUAGAAGGAACCGGUACGAGGAGCUUUUAACCAAGCAUGUACACGGCAGGAUUCUACGGCGACGGUCUUUUACUUAUUAAGUGUUGACCUCGGAUCAGGUAGGAAUACCCGCUGAACUUAA
RNAcentral lists this unclassified non-coding RNA (251 nucleotides) under fungal sp. Its description in RNAcentral is "partial contains 5.8S ribosomal RNA, internal transcribed spacer 2, and large subunit ribosomal RNA". Lineage: Eukaryota; Fungi. The record is from RNAcentral.